Sapajus apella (tufted capuchin) is the source of this 491-nucleotide long non-coding RNA. RefSeq lists it as uncharacterized. The record is from RefSeq and is a predicted model, not a curated record. The transcript is spliced from 2 exons. Lineage: Eukaryota; Metazoa; Chordata; Mammalia; Primates; Cebidae.
CCUCUGCUCACCUGGAUCCCAGCCCCCCCCACUAGGCCCCUGUGUUCACCUGGGUGCCAGCCCCACCCAGGCCCCUGUGCUCACCUGGGCCCCAGCACCCUCCAGGUGCUCACCUGGGUCCCAGCACACCCCCAGGCCCCUGUGCUCACCUGGGUCCCAAUACCCCCCUAGGCCCCUGUGCUCACCUGGGUCCCAGCCCCUCCCAGGCUCCUGUGCUCACCUGGGUCCCAGCCACCUCUCCUCUGGCUCCCCUGGCUCCAGGACUGUCUCGUCACCCAGGCCUGGCUGCUGCCCCACUGUGCCUCGGAGCCCCAGGACUAUACCCAGCUAGGAUUCAGCCAGGGCUGAAGGCCCCUGAGGCCCGGGGUGGCAACCUCCCCAAUGGCCCAUGGGUCCCUCAUGGCAUUCACAUCUCAGUGUCCUGAGAGUGUCCUGUGGGGUAAGUAGGAUCCUGCUGAGGUGACAGGCUCAGAGUGAGACCCUGUCUCAGA